GACGAACGCUGGCGGCGUGCCUAACACAUGCAAGUCGAGCGAUGAAGUUCCUUCGGGAACGGAUUAGCGGCGGACGGGUGAGUAACACGUGGGCAACCUGCCUUAUAGAGGGGAAUAGCCUUCCGAAAGGAAGAUUAAUACCGCAUAAGAUUGUAGCUUCGCAUGAAGUAGCAAUUAAAGGAGCAAUCCACUAUAAGAUGGGCCCGCGGCGCAUUAGCUAGUUGGUGAGGUAACGGCCCACCAAGGCGACGAUCAGUAGCCGGACUGAGAGGUUGAACGGCCACAUUGGGACUGAGACACGGCCCAG
This 307-nucleotide ribosomal RNA is filed under the name uncultured bacterium. RNAcentral's name for it is "bacterial SSU rRNA". It matches the Rfam family "Bacterial small subunit ribosomal RNA", at positions 28 to 334 of the family's 1533-position model. The record is from RNAcentral.